This 253-nucleotide ribosomal RNA is filed under the name uncultured bacterium. Its description in RNAcentral is "partial 16S ribosomal RNA". It matches the Rfam family "Bacterial small subunit ribosomal RNA", at positions 524 to 776 of the family's 1533-position model. The record is from RNAcentral.
UACAGAGGGUGCGAGCGUUAAUCGGAAUUACUGGGCGUAAAGGGUGCGUAGGCGGCGCGGUAAGUCGGGUGUGAAAUCUCGGGGCUUAACUCCGAAACUGCAUUCGAUACUGCCGUGCUUGAGGACUGGAGAGGAGACUGGAAUUUACGGUGUAGCGGUGAAAUGCGUAGAUAUCGUAAGGAAGACCAGUGGCGAAGGCGGGUCUCUGGACAGUUCCUGACGCUGAGGCACGAAGGCCAGGGGAGCAAACGGG